CUGUAUGUUGUGCUGUAAAAUAGUUAACUUUCUAUCCAUUCUGAUUGACAUUUUUAAUAAACAAUUCUUUAAUAGUUGAUGAAUUGACUGGACAAAUCUUAGCUACAGCAACGUGUUCUCCUUUGCAAUUGAUACACAAAGGGAGUAUGCAUAGACCAUAACUUACUUGCUCAGGUAGAACAUUACCAGCAAAGGUGACUGAGACGGUCUGCAAAGGGACGACACCUUCAGGGGUCCUCUUGGUGAAUCUUCUCACAGCCAAGAUCUCCUGCGAACUGAUCAAUUUGUCAAAAAGAUGCCGGUUGCUCAAUUCAGUUGGAAUGAAUUUGAUUACUCCUGUUCGCUCUGAGUUGGAGGCAGGAAUGAAUGCCUUGAUUUCGUGAGAUGAUAGAAAGGCCGAAUUAGACAGUAAAGAGUUGGCGUUUUUCGGGUUAUCGAAAUAUACAGCAUACCGCAAUGCA
This is a long non-coding RNA of Ostrinia nubilalis (European corn borer), 461 nucleotides long. RefSeq lists it as uncharacterized. Lineage: Eukaryota; Metazoa; Arthropoda; Insecta; Lepidoptera; Crambidae. The transcript has 3 exons. The record is from RefSeq and is a predicted model, not a curated record.